RNAcentral lists this ribosomal RNA (504 nucleotides) under uncultured bacterium. Its description in RNAcentral is "partial 16S ribosomal RNA". It matches the Rfam family "Bacterial small subunit ribosomal RNA", at positions 30 to 526 of the family's 1533-position model. The record is from RNAcentral.
AUUGAACGCUGGCGGCAGGCCUAACACAUGCAAGUCGAACGGUAGCACAGAGAGCUUGCUCUCGGGUGACGAGUGGCGGACGGGUGAGUAACGUCUGGGAAACUGCCCGAUGGAGGGGGAUAACUACUGGAAACGGUAGCUAAUACCGCAUAACGUCGCAAGACCAAAGUGGGGGACCUUCGGGCCUCACACCAUCGGAUGUGCCCAGAUGGGAUUAGCUAGUAGGUGGGGUAAUGGCUCACCUAGGCGACGAUCCCUAGCUGGUCUGAGAGGAUGACCAGCCACACUGGAACUGAGACACGGUCCAGACUCCUACGGGAGGCAGCAGUGGGGAAUAUUGCACAAUGGGCGCAAGCCUGAUGCAGCCAUGCCGCGUGUAUGAAGAAGGCCUUCGGGUUGUAAAGUACUUUCAGCGGGGAGGAAGGCGGUGAAGUUAAUAGCUUCACCGAUUGACGUUACCCGCAGAAGAAGCACCGGCUAACUCCGUGCCAGCCGCCGUAAUAC